RNAcentral lists this ribosomal RNA (229 nucleotides) under uncultured bacterium. Its description in RNAcentral is "partial 16S ribosomal RNA". It matches the Rfam family "Bacterial small subunit ribosomal RNA", at positions 104 to 334 of the family's 1533-position model. The record is from RNAcentral.
CGGGGUGAGUAAUGUCUGGGAAACUGCCUGAUGGAGGGGGAUAACUACUGGAAACGGUAGCUAAUACCGCAUAAUGUCGCAAGACCAAAGAGGGGGACCUUCGGGCCUCUUGCCAUCGGACGUGCCCAGAUGGGAUUAGCUAGUAGGUGGGGUAACGGCUCACCUAGGCGACGAUCCCUAGCUGAUCUGAGAGGAUGACCAGCCACACUGGAACUGAGACACGGUCCAG